RNAcentral lists this ribosomal RNA (325 nucleotides) under uncultured eukaryote. RNAcentral's name for it is "partial 18S ribosomal RNA". It matches the Rfam family "Eukaryotic small subunit ribosomal RNA", at positions 1470 to 1796 of the family's 1831-position model. The record is from RNAcentral.
CCCUUAGAUGUCCUGGGCCGCACGCGCGCUACACUGAUGCAUUCAACGAGUUCUACCUUGGCCGAGAGGCCUGGGCAAUCUUUUGAACCUGCAUCGUGAUAGGGAUAGAUUAUUGCAAUUAUUAAUCUUGAACGAGGAAUUCCUAGUAAACGCAGAUCAUCAAUCUGCAUUGAUUACGUCCCUGCCCUUUGUACACACCGCCCGUCGCACCUACCGAUUGAAUGGUCCGGUGAAGCCUCGGGAUUGUGGCGAGUUCCCUUUAUUGGGAGUUUGUCGCGAGAACUUGUCUAAACCUUAUCAUUUAGAGGAAGGUGAAGUCGUAACA